RNAcentral lists this ribosomal RNA (460 nucleotides) under uncultured bacterium. RNAcentral's name for it is "partial 16S ribosomal RNA". It matches the Rfam family "Bacterial small subunit ribosomal RNA", at positions 338 to 795 of the family's 1533-position model. The record is from RNAcentral.
CCUACGGGAGGCUGCAGUGAGGAAUAUUGGUCAAUGGACGAGAGUCUGAACCAGCCAAGUAGCGUGAAGGAUGACUGCCCUAUGGGUUGUAAACUUCUUUUAUAUGGGAAUAAAACGUUCCACGUGUGGGAUUUUGUAUGUACCAUAUGAAUAAGGAUCGGCUAACUCCGGGCCAGCAGCCGCGGUAAUACGGAGGAUCCGAGCGUUAUCCGGAUUUAUUGGGUUUAAAGGGAGCGUAGGUGGAUUGUUAAGUCAGUUGUGAAAGUUUGCGGCUCAACCGUAAAAUUGCAGUUGAAACUGGCAGUCUUGAGUACAGUAGAGGUGGGCGGAAUGCGUGGUGUAGCGGUGAAAUGCUUAGAUAUCACGAAGAACUCCGAUUGCGAAGGCAGUUCACUGGACUGCAACUGACACUGAGGCUCGAAAGUGUGGGUAUCAAACAGGAUUAGAUACCCCUGUAGUC